RNAcentral lists this ribosomal RNA (517 nucleotides) under uncultured Glomus. RNAcentral describes it as "SSU rRNA". It matches the Rfam family "Eukaryotic small subunit ribosomal RNA", at positions 569 to 1089 of the family's 1831-position model. The record is from RNAcentral. Lineage: Eukaryota; Fungi; Glomeromycota; Glomeromycetes; Glomerales; Glomeraceae.
AGCAGCCGCGGUAAUUCCAGCUCCAAUAGCGUAUAUUAAAGUUGUUGCAGUUAAAAAGCUCGUAGUUGAAUUUCGAGAUCAAAUUGUUGGUCGUGCCUUGGUACGCACUGGCAUUAUUGGUUUCUCCCUUCUGACGAACCAUAAUGUCAUUAAUUUGGUGUCUUGGGGAAUCAGGACUGUUACUUUGAAAAAAUUAGAGUGUUUAAAGCAGGCUCACGCUUGAAUACAUUAGCAUGGAAUAAUGAAAUAGGACGUUUGAUUCUAUUUUGUUGGUUUCUAGGAUCGACGUAAUGAUUAAUAGGGAUAGUUGGGGGCAUUAGUAUUCAAUUGUCAGAGGUGAAAUUCUUGGAUUUAUUGAAGACUAACUACUGCGAAAGCAUUUGCCAAGGAUGUUUUCAUUAAUCAAGAACGAAAGUUAGGGGAUCGAAGACGAUCAGAUACCGUCGUAGUCUUAACCAUAAACUAUGCCGACUAGGGAUCGGAUGAUGUUAAUUUUUAAUGACUCAUUCGGCGUCCG